GAGGGUGCCUGAGGGGGAUGUGCUAAAGCCAAAGCACAUUUGCCCCCUCCCAGCGGGUAGGGGAGUGGUGGAGGCGGAGCACAGAGGUGUGGCCUGUCAGAGAAGGCGUUGUUACGACAGCACAGAGAGUACGGCCCUAGGAGCAGGACCCUGCACACAGCUGAGCUCAGAGGCUCCAGUCUGGCCACGAGAAUGCAAUGGGAGGUAUUCUUCAUUGAUCUUACUCGAAGUUGAGAACAUGUAUUUUGACUCUGAGAAAUGUUUGGAGGUCAACUGCAGUGAGGUCUCUAUACCACAGAGUGUUGUUGGCGUCUCACAUGGCCAUUCAUCAGCUCAAUACAAACAAGUCUUCACGGAGGUGGAGUUUCCUCCUCACCUGUUGCUAAACCAGGCAGCGUGGAUUGGCAUAUUCACUGACUUCAUGGCACGAAGGCCUACAAAAGCGGAACAACUUUUCACCAGUGCAAAAAUGUUCCAAAAGAUACUCUCUCUGUCCAAUACACUUGUAAGUGCAUUCUAGAAUAUAAAAAAUAGAGAGAGAUAAAUGUUCUGUUGAAAGAUAAUCUCCCAAAAUAUAAGUUUUUAUGUAAGACAGUGCUCUCAAGUCAUAAAUGGUAAAUUCUUCUGAAAGUCACAGAGGAAAUUACUCUUAAGACCUCUGUCUUGUUAAGUUAUCAUAGUAAUAAAAUCUCAACCUACUAAGGUAACUUUCUAAACAUGUCAGAGCUUGAAAGUCUCUUGUAAACCUCUAAAUACAAAGAAAACCUAAGUUUAUUUAUUGAAGUUCAAGCUGUAGAAAUCUGACAGCUUUGAGGACUUUAAAAGAUACUGAAUCAACUGCUAUAAAAGGAAAACAGUCUUGACAAUUUUAAUUCAUAUAGUAUUACAACUGAAGAAACUAUUUGAUGAUUUAUGAAGGGCACAUUUGCCGGCUGUGUUUUGGAGUUUUUGCAUGAAAAGUGAAUUUGUACUCAGACUGUUUGCAUCUUCAAAGACCC
Molecule: long non-coding RNA, 998 nt
Filed under: Homo sapiens (human)
Lineage: Eukaryota; Metazoa; Chordata; Mammalia; Primates; Hominidae
Description: HSALNT0373991
Source: RNAcentral